ACUAUGGAGUGCACUAGAACUUGUGAGUAGAUAUGAUUUCGAUCAAUCCAAAGCAUGCACGGUGACAUAGUAA
Molecule: non-coding RNA, 73 nt
Submitted as: unclassified sequences
Source: Rfam